Molecule: ribosomal RNA, 497 nt
Filed under: uncultured bacterium
Lineage: Bacteria
Description: partial 16S ribosomal RNA
Rfam family: Bacterial small subunit ribosomal RNA
Source: RNAcentral
GAUGAACGCUGGCGGCGUGCCUAAUACAUGCAAGUCGAGCGAACAGAUGAGGAGCUUGCUCCUCUGACGUUAGCGGCGGACGGGUGAGUAACACGUGGAUAACCUACCUAUAAGACUGGGAUAACUUCGGGAAACCGGAGCUAAUACCGGAUAAUAUAUUGAACCGCAUGGUUCAAUAGUGAAAGACGGUUUUGCUGUCACUUAUAGAUGGAUCCGCGCCGCAUUAGCUAGUUGGUAAGGUAACGGCUUACCAAGGCAACGAUGCGUAGCCGACCUGAGAGGGUGAUCGGCCACACUGGAACUGAGACACGGUCCAGACUCCUACGGGAGGCAGCAGUAGGGAAUCUUCCGCAAUGGGCGAAAGCCUGACGGAGCAACGACGCGUGAGUGAUGAAGGUCUUCGGAUCGUAAAACUCUGUUAUUAGGGAAGAACAAAUGUGUAAGUAACUAUGCACGUCUUGACGGUACCUAAUCAGAAAGCCACGGCUAACUACGUG